Passer domesticus (house sparrow) is the source of this 524-nucleotide long non-coding RNA. RefSeq lists it as uncharacterized. NCBI's taxonomy places the organism in Eukaryota, Metazoa, Chordata, Aves, Passeriformes, Passeridae. The transcript is spliced from 3 exons. The record is from RefSeq and is a predicted model, not a curated record.
UAUGAGGCCCGGGUUCAAAAUAAGCAAGAUCAGCCAAUUUAUUUUGCUAUUUCCCAUCAGAUUGUCUCCCAUUCUAUUUUUGCCUCCAUGUACACCAUACAAAAGACAUUAAAUAGAGUGUUUCUUUUAUUGUAUUUGCAGACACAAGAAAUGCAGAGACAAUUUAACAGGAAAAGUGUCACUUAAACUUCCUCCUUCAUUUUAGCUCCAGAGAACAUCCUGUAUGCUGGCUGCCUUGCGUGCUCCACUACUUAGAAGCUUCUGCAGAUUCACUGAUGUUCACUGAAGUGACAGGAUGCUUAAGAAACAGGUCACUAAAACAGACCACAGAUUGUACUGUGUAUUCUCUGGGAUACUAGACCACAGCCAAAAAGUUGACCUUUAUUACUAUCACCUGUCCUUAUCAGUGCCAUGGAAAAAAAGCCUCUUACUGCCUUUCAGACUUCAGCAACAAAGCCAUGCUCUGAAAGAAAAAGAAAGAAAAAAAAGAGAGAAAGAAAGAGAGAAAGAGAAAGAGAAAGAGA